GGGCGAUUAGCUCAGUUGGUUAGAGCGCCUGCUCGACACGCAGGAGGUCGUGGGUUCAACUCCCGCAUCGCCCACCA
RNAcentral lists this transfer RNA (77 nucleotides) under Acidimicrobiales bacterium. Its description in RNAcentral is "tRNA-Val". It matches the Rfam family "tRNA". From Rfam's summary of the family: Transfer RNA (tRNA) molecules are approximately 80 nucleotides in length. Their secondary structure includes four short double-helical elements and three loops (D, anti-codon, and T loops). Lineage: Bacteria; Bacillati; Actinomycetota; Acidimicrobiia; Acidimicrobiales. The record is from RNAcentral.